GCGCGAGUGGCGGAACGGCAGACGCACCAGCUUGAGGGGCUGGCGGGGGAGACCCUGUGCGAGUUCAAAUCUCGCCUCGCGCACCA
Molecule: transfer RNA, 86 nt
Filed under: Candidatus Omnitrophota bacterium
Lineage: Bacteria; Pseudomonadati; Candidatus Omnitrophota
Description: Candidatus Omnitrophica bacterium tRNA-Leu
Rfam family: tRNA
About the family: Transfer RNA (tRNA) molecules are approximately 80 nucleotides in length. Their secondary structure includes four short double-helical elements and three loops (D, anti-codon, and T loops). Further hydrogen bonds mediate the characteristic L-shaped molecular structure. tRNAs have two regions of fundamental functional importance: the anti-codon, which is responsible for specific mRNA codon recognition, and the 3' end, to which the tRNAs corresponding amino acid is attached (by aminoacyl-tRNA synthetases). tRNAs cope with the degeneracy of the genetic code in two manners: having more than one tRNA (with a specific anti-codon) for a particular amino acid; and 'wobble' base-pairing, i.e. permitting non-standard base-pairing at the 3rd anti-codon position.
Source: RNAcentral